Molecule: long non-coding RNA, 618 nt
Filed under: Triticum aestivum (bread wheat)
Lineage: Eukaryota; Viridiplantae; Streptophyta; Magnoliopsida; Poales; Poaceae
Description: long non-coding RNA (TAES_LNC003956)
Source: RNAcentral
CUUGUAGAUGUUUUUGUCCGAGUGAUGGUUGAUGUGUUUCCUGAGCUGAAGGACAAUGAAAAGAAGAUUAAAGAUAUAAUUAAAGAAGAAGAUCCAAGCUUUGAGAACACUCUAGCGAUGGUAAUAUUGGUUGCCAGGAGUAUUUGCAUAUCAGUGACAUCAAUUUGGCCCAAGUGAUGUUUGUUGAAGUAAUUUCAUUGCAAUCAAAUCCGAGUGUUUGCACACUCUUAGGCAGUGUUUUAUCCUUGUAAACAUGUGUUAGUCUCAAAGUAAUUUAGCUUGUUUGUUAUCAGAUAACCUAAAUUGUUUUAUCCUUGUAAACAUGUGUUAGUAUCAAAGUAAUUUAGCUUGUUUGUUAUCAGAUAACCUAAAUUUCUGUUGUUGCCGGAGGCGCUGGGCCAGUUUAUACCUUGUAUCUAAUGUACUGCUGUUUUGCUCGUGAGAUACUGCUAAAGGCUUACUUUAUAUAUAUAAUAUAUAUUAACGUGUUGUGCUGAGUAACCAGAUAGUUUCUUGUUUUGAGGCAACACAUCCAGGGUGAUAGUUUCAAUCUUGGUUUACAUCAGCUUAGUUCAAUCACCAUAAUUAGCAUACAUGAUAAAUUGUCUCAUCAUUUCU